Molecule: transfer RNA, 87 nt
Filed under: Prunus dulcis (almond)
Lineage: Eukaryota; Viridiplantae; Streptophyta; Magnoliopsida; Rosales; Rosaceae
Description: tRNA-Leu
Source: RNAcentral
UGAUUAAUCGGACGAGAAUAAAGAUAGAGUCCCAUUACCUCGUGUCACCAGUUCAAAUCUGGUUCCUGGCACAUGAGUAAUUUUUAU